CGGGAAGGGGCGGGCUCGGCCGGCUCGGGUGUGCUGUCCGACGGCUGUGCUGAACUUUAUUUAUUAAACAGCAGAGCGGGGUUUUUCCUUUUCUACGCCUCCUAACAUCCUCACGACACUUGAGGCAGCUGUUCAAUAUACGUGUCCCGGCAGAAAAGAAGAGCUAGAAAAGAAGAUACAAUAUUCUUCCUUCAAGACAGCCAGGGUUGUGAAACACUUUUAGAACUGCUUAAAAAAGUAGGAAAAUAUUUGGAUUGGUUGGAGUUGAACCCAGUAAGUGACCCUGCAAAUACCAGAUAAUUGAAGGGCUCUCAGAUGCAAAGGAUAUUCCUUGACCUCUUCUUUUAGCACCUGUUAAAAGGUUUGGAGUUCUGGGAUGUUCUUGAAUCAACCUGCAAAAUGGCCACAGCUUGGAGGACACCUGCCUUUUGCCACCAGCCAUUCAUGUUAAACCACUGCAGCACCAAUGGGGAGCUUUAGCUAAGAAGACACUGCUGGCAGCACUGAGAAUAGUGGAAGUCCUGUAACCACCAUCACACCCUCUGUCAUCUGCGAAAAAUGAAAAUUUUAAGAAGGCUUUUCCUUUAAAACAAAUGUUCAUGAAUGUCACUGCUGCACCUUUGUGAUUUUAAAUUCAAGUUGUAAACAGUCACAGAAUAAAGUUAUGUGUUUUACACAGUUGCCACCAGUUUCAGCUUGUGUUUGAACUUCAUCAGACUAUUCAGAUUAGAAUGGGCAGGUCUCAUCAGACCUGGUUUUCUCUGCAUGUUGGGUAAGAUGAAUGGAAUUCCUCUUAAUUCAUGGAAAACCCCUCAGUAGUUUCUGCAUUUUACCUUAGAGAGAUGAAGGGAAGACACUGACCAAGAAUUGUUGGUGUGAAUUGCUGAUCUGUUAACUGAGAGUUUUAAACAGUUUUAUAUCAGGCUCUUGAAUUAUGAAUUUGCUUGCUGUUGGAUAUUUUUAAUUUUCAACUGCUUUAACUUCUGUUGUAAGUUGAAAUUACAACAGUGGGGAAAUUAAAGGGAAAAAAUGAAAUAAUUAUAAUUAGAAAAGCAGUGAAGUAAAAUAAUGUGAAGAACUGCCUUAAUUUGUAGUUAUAUACAUUCCAAUCAAAUAUCAGAUUUAAACAUUUUUAACAUCCAUUCUAUGAAAAUAACAAGUAUACUUGGACUUAAUACAUACAAAAUAAAUGGCAGUUGCUCUGCCAAAAUAUUUAAUAUUAAGAUUAAAAUAGAUUCAAAAUUAUGGAUUGAAUAUAAACAAACAUGCCAGCAAUACUGAUCUUGAAAUUUUAUGUGGAUUUUUCCAACUUCUGAGAGCGACUAUUGUUUUCCUGCAGAAAAUAGUUUAGAAGUAUGUGAAGUAUAUGUCUGUUACUGAAAGUAACUUUUGUAAUGCAUUAAAUAUAUUAUUACCCACAACCAUAAUAGGUACAGCACCUUUGCAGAAAUGAGUGAAAUUUUAAAAUUAUUGCCAUGUCUUAAAAAUGUGAAGUAGCUUUUGCUUUGUAUUUCUAGUGUGUGACAGCUGUUUUUUCAUAAUAGUAGGAGAAAAUUUCCACUGGUAGUGAAUAGCAGAGAACAUGACUAGUAUGUGUUAUCAGUAUAUCACUGUAAUUAAGUUGUUUUGUUCUUUUUGCAAG
Molecule: long non-coding RNA, 1642 nt
Filed under: Taeniopygia guttata (zebra finch)
Lineage: Eukaryota; Metazoa; Chordata; Aves; Passeriformes; Estrildidae
Description: lncRNA (ENSTGUG00000028903.1)
Source: RNAcentral